Molecule: long non-coding RNA, 751 nt
Filed under: Homo sapiens (human)
Lineage: Eukaryota; Metazoa; Chordata; Mammalia; Primates; Hominidae
Description: HSALNT0068266
Source: RNAcentral
AAAGAGCCGGCCUUUCCGGGCUCACCACGUAGCUUCCUCCCCGGCCCUGCUCAUGGCCCUGCCUGGCUGUCUCCUCUGCCUGGAGGCCUCUCACUCACCUUUAGGGUGGGCUCCUGGCAGGGCAGGGUGGCCUGAGGGGCCUUAGGGAGGAUUUAGGGGUGAACACCCAAGAUCCCGGGUCCAUGAGAUUCCUGGAGCCAGGAGAAGGUGGCUUCACCACUCAAUUCAGUCAUAGGGACCAGCCAGGCCCAGUCCCACAGAUGAGGAGUCCUGGAGGGUCCUAGGCCUGCUCAGGUCCUCAGGAAGCAGAUGCUGAGCGGACCUGGGGCAUGCGACAGGUGACAGUAAUGCCCAGAAGAGAUGGGGCGUCAGGAGUCACCCGACUGGCCUGAAAAUCUGAUGGCACCUCCAGCGCCACGGCGAGCUCUGGGGCCAGGGCCACCUGCUGCAGGGACCACGGGUUGAGUGGCAACAUCCAGGCCCCAGCCACUUGCAUCUCAGCCACUGGAAAGGGGACAGCCACCAUCCGAGCCCCCCAUCCAGGGGUUCCCAUGUGGGGACACCUUCUGGCAGCCCAGCUGAGCUCCCACCCCUAGCAAACACUGCCGGCCUCUCACCCCAGAGCGCUUUCAAUGGCAGCAGCCUCCAAGGGCACCCACUGAGAGACCCCAACUGAGAGCCCCCAACCACGCCCUCCGAACUCCUGGCCAGUGGGACGAGACACACUUCUGCCCACUGAGAAGGUCCUCGG